GAUGAACGCUAGCGGCAGGCUUAACACAUGCAAGUCGAGGGGUAGAAGGAGCUUGCUCCUUUGAGACCGGCGCACGGGUGCGUAACGCGUAUGCAAUCUACCUUUUGCAGAGGAUAGCCCAGAGAAAUUUGGAUUAAUACCUCAUAGUAUGUGAGGAUGGCAUCAUUUUCACAUUAAAGUCACAACGGCAAAAGAUGAGCAUGCGUCCCAUUAGCUAGUUGGUAAGGUAACGGCUUACCAAGGCUACGAUGGGUAGGGGUCCUGAGAGGGAGAUCCCCCCACACUGGUACUGAGACACGGACCAGACUCCUACGGGAGCAGCAGUGAGGAAUAUUGGACAAUGGGCGCAAGCCUGAUCCAGCCAUGCCGCGUGCAGGAUGACGGUCCUAUGGAUUGUAAACUGCUUUUGUAACAGGAAGAAACACUAACUUCGUGAAGUAGCUUGACGGUACUGUAA
This 457-nucleotide ribosomal RNA is filed under the name uncultured bacterium. RNAcentral describes it as "bacterial SSU rRNA". It matches the Rfam family "Bacterial small subunit ribosomal RNA", at positions 28 to 483 of the family's 1533-position model. The record is from RNAcentral.